Molecule: ribosomal RNA, 253 nt
Filed under: uncultured bacterium
Lineage: Bacteria
Description: partial 16S ribosomal RNA
Rfam family: Bacterial small subunit ribosomal RNA
Source: RNAcentral
UACGAAGGGGGCUAGCGUUGUUCGGAUUUACUGGGUUUAAAGGGUGCGUAGGCGGAUCUUUAAGUCAGUGGUGAAAUCUCUCGGCUCAACCGAGAAACUGCCAUUGAUACUAUUGAUCUUGAAUACAGUUGAGGUGGGCGGAAUGUGUCGUGUAGCGGUGAAAUGCUUAGAUAUGACACAGAACACCGAUUGCGAAGGCAGCUCGCUAAACUGUGAUUGACGCUGAGGCACGAAAGCGUGGGGAUCAAACAGG